AGAGUUUAGGUUAAUACAGACCAAAGGCCUUCAAAGCCUUAAGUAGGAGUGAAAAUCCCCUAACCCUUGA
Molecule: non-coding RNA, 70 nt
Organism: Hippocampus comes (tiger tail seahorse)
Lineage: Eukaryota; Metazoa; Chordata; Actinopteri; Syngnathiformes; Syngnathidae
Source: Ensembl